UUGUUGCGGUGUUAGACUGUCACAAUUCUAAUGUUUUGUUUUUGUUUACAUAGUUUCCUUUAAUGGAACAGUCACUGUGGAAAAAGUAUUUAGUGAAACUAAUACUAUCAAACAACAGCUCACAGAGGGUUUUCAACAAUUAAAUGGGUUUGAGGGCCUUAAUGUAUCUGGACCUAGGGGUGAUGGCCACAUUGUUGAUUUCGAAGUGGAUCUCAGUGUCAUAUUUCUGACUAAAAAACUUACAAUAAUAACAGCUGACCUGGAAGCUACUGUAGGCUCCUCUGCCAAAAUAUCUGUUGAAACAUCAGGUAAAUGUACAGUCCUUUCACAUAGUGAUAUUAAGACCACGAGGAGAUCUGCCACAUUAGGCU
RNAcentral lists this long non-coding RNA (371 nucleotides) under Salmo trutta (river trout). Its description in RNAcentral is "lncRNA (ENSSTUG00000007318.1)". The record is from RNAcentral. Lineage: Eukaryota; Metazoa; Chordata; Actinopteri; Salmoniformes; Salmonidae.